UUAUGUUCAUUCUGACGCACAGGUUCUGCCAAUGAUGCUUCCCACGAAGUUUAUUUUUCUAAGAAAGCAAUUUACUCGGAAGAUUUGCACAAUCCAUCAAACCCUGCAAAAAACACUAACUCGAAAGAAAAAGAAUAAAAAUCAAAUAUUACCUCGAAAUGAAAAGUUUGCAUUUUAUGACUUUGUUUAUCAUUUAUGAAAAAAAUUAAAUUGAUUCGAUUAUUAUAGCCACGUGAUUUUAUUGUGCAAGUUCUAAAAGGGGACAAUGUAUUUUCAAAUGACAGUUGUUCUUAUUAUUUUUGACGAAUGUGAUGAAUUCGUGGUUACUGUUAACUAAUUUGAUCGCGGUUACUGUUAACGAAUUCGAUCUAUUUUUUCAUCGAUCUAAAUGAAAAGACAUAAAAAGAUGACUCGUGGUUACUAGUAACCGAUUCGAUCUGUUUUUUCAUGAUUGAUCUAAUUGAAAAGACAUAUAAGAUAGACGGAUUAGAUCAUUAAUAUGGGAUUUAUGUUGGACCCGUUAUCUUGAAUUGGAUACAACCAGUUAGCAUCUUCAAAAGGACCAGACUUAUCUCUAAUCCCAUUUUGAGACUGGGCUCAUGCAUCUUAGUAAUCCUAACUAACCAUUCAUCUUGCAGCGCUAAGCAUAUCAAUCACGAAUAUGAUAAGAUCACAUGAAUAGCCUUGCAUAAAUCUAUAUUUUUUUUUUGAUGAAUAAUUUGUUCAAAAUGCCCUACAAUGUAACUGGAUCGUCCAGUCCCAACAGUCUUUGGUGGGCCUAGAUGGGCCUUCUCCAGUCAAGUACGCCUCGCAUGGGAUUAGCUUCAUCACAUCCCCUGGCAUCCCAAGCCAUUGCACCCACAACCAACACAAACAAGCACAUCACCCAAAUAUAGACCGCCCAAUGGCCUUUCUUCCCAUCUUCACCUCUAGAAAUAGAGGGAAAGAGAGAGAGAGAGUUUGUUAAAUGGUUGGGUGUUUUGCCCCACAUAACCCUAUUUAUAAUUUGAAGAUGGAUAAUGAAAUAAUUAAUCCAU
Molecule: long non-coding RNA, 1037 nt
Filed under: Actinidia chinensis (golden kiwifruit)
Lineage: Eukaryota; Viridiplantae; Streptophyta; Magnoliopsida; Ericales; Actinidiaceae
Description: long non-coding RNA (ACHI_LNC008128)
Source: RNAcentral